GUGGCUGACGGGAGGCGGAGCAGCGAACGAGGGCGUCGGCCAUUUUGUGCCUGUUUCCUGUGGGA
MicroRNA precursor from Equus asinus (donkey), 65 nucleotides. The record is from Ensembl. NCBI's taxonomy places the organism in Eukaryota, Metazoa, Chordata, Mammalia, Perissodactyla, Equidae.